GUCUUAGGGACUCGGCGUACCGCUCAGUAACACGUGGGUAACCUGCCCUAUGCUGGGGAAUAACCUCGGGAAACUGAGAAUAAUGCCCCAUAGUCCACAAUGCCUGGAACGGUUUGUGGAUCAAAGCUCCGGCGGCAUAGGAUGGGCCUGCGGCGUAUCAGGUUGUAGGGGGUGUAACGUACCCUCUAGCCAUCAACGCGUACGGGUGUUGGGAGACAUAGCCCGGAGAUGGAUUCUGAGACACGAAUCCAGACCCUACGGGGUGCAGCAGGCGCGAAAACUUGGCAAUGCGAGAAAUCGUGACCAGGGAACUCCAAGUGGCUGGGGUAAGACCCAGUCUUUUCUUGACUCUUCAAAGGUCUUGGAAUAAGGGGUGGGUAAGGACGGUGCCAGCCGCCGCGGUAAUACCGGCGCCUCAAGUGGUAGUCGAUUUUAUUGGGCCUAAAACGUCCGUAGCCUGUUUGGUACAUUCGUGGGUAAAUCAACCAGCUCAACUGGUUGAAUUCUGCGAGCACGGCCAGACUUGGGACCGGGAGGGGUGUGGGGUACGCUCAGGGUAGGGGUAAAAUCCUGUCAUCCUGAGCGGACCACCUGUUGCGAAGGCGCCACACUAGAACGGAUCCGACGGUCAGGACGAAGCCUAGGGCACGAAACCGGGAUUAGAUACCCGGGUAGUCCUAGUGUAA
This 686-nucleotide ribosomal RNA is filed under the name uncultured marine archaeon. RNAcentral's name for it is "bacterial SSU rRNA". It matches the Rfam family "Archaeal small subunit ribosomal RNA", at positions 64 to 756 of the family's 1478-position model. The record is from RNAcentral.